Molecule: ribosomal RNA, 755 nt
Filed under: uncultured bacterium
Lineage: Bacteria
Description: bacterial SSU rRNA
Rfam family: Bacterial small subunit ribosomal RNA
Source: RNAcentral
AGCGAACGUUUGCGGCGGGCUUAACACAUGCAAGUCGAACGGGCUGUUCCUUCGGGGGCAGUCAGUGGCGCACGGGUGCGUAACACGUAGGUAAUCAACCCUUCAGCUCGGGAUAACACUUCGAAAGGAGUGCUAAUAGCGGAUGUGACGCGGUGCUCUUCGGAGUGUCGCGGGAAAGAUCCGCAAGGGUCACUGAAGGACGAGCCUGCGGCCCAUCAGCUUGUUGGUGAGGUAACGGCUCACCAAGGCGAAGACGGGUAGCUGGUCUGAGAGGAUGAUCAGUCACACUGGAACUGAGACACGGUCCAGACUCCUACGGGAGGCAGCAGUGGGGAAUAUUGCGCAAUGGGCGAAAGCCUGACGCAGCCACGCCGCGUGAGCGAUGAAGGCCUUCGGGUCGUAAAGCUCUGUGGGGGGAGAAGAACAAAGCCGGUGAAGAGCCGGCCCUGACGGUAUCCCCUUAGCAAGCACCGGCUAACUCCGUGCCAGCAGCCGCGGUAAUACGGAGGGUGCAAACGUUGCUCGGAAUCAUUGGGCGUAAAGCGCACGUAGGCUGCUCGACAAGUUGGAUGUGAAAAGCCCCUUGGCUCAACCGAGGAAGUGCAUCCAAAACUGGCGGGCUUGAAUUUCGGAGGGGGUCGAAAUUCCGGGGUGNAGAGGUGAAAUUCGUNGGAUAUCCGGGAGAAUACCAGUGGCAGAGGCGCCGACCUGGACGAAGGAUUGACGCUGAGGUGCGAAAAGCGUGGGGGAGCAAA